Molecule: ribosomal RNA, 501 nt
Filed under: uncultured bacterium
Lineage: Bacteria
Description: partial 16S ribosomal RNA
Rfam family: Bacterial small subunit ribosomal RNA
Source: RNAcentral
GACGAACGCUGGCGGCGUGCCUAAUACAUGCAAGUCGAGCGGACCGGAUUGGGGCUUGCCUUGAUUCGGUCAGCGGCGGACGGGUGAGUAACACGUGGGCAACCUGCCCGCAAGACCGGGAUAACUCCGGGAAACCGGAGCUAAUACCGGAUAACACCGAAGACCGCAUGGUCUUCGGUUGAAAGGCGGCCUUUGGGCUGUCACUUGCGGAUGGGCCCGCGGCGCAUUAGCUAGUUGGUGAGGUAACGGCUCACCAAGGCGACGAUGCGUAGCCGGCCUGAGAGGGGGACCGGCCACGCUGGGACGGAGACACGGCCCAGACUCCUACGGGAGGCAGCAGUAGGGAAUCUUACGCAAUGGGCGAAAGCCGGACGGAGCGACGCCGCGUGAGCGAAGAAGGCCGUCGGGUCGGAAAGCUCUGUUGUGAGGGAAGAAGGAGCGUCGUUCGAAGAGGGCGGCGCGGUGACGGUACCUCACGAGAAAGCCCCGGCUAACUACGUG